RNAcentral lists this ribosomal RNA (253 nucleotides) under uncultured bacterium. Its description in RNAcentral is "partial 16S ribosomal RNA". It matches the Rfam family "Bacterial small subunit ribosomal RNA", at positions 524 to 776 of the family's 1533-position model. The record is from RNAcentral.
UACGGAGGGUGCAAGCGAUGUUCGGAAUUAUUGGGCGUAAAGAGCGCGUAGGCGGUCCUUUAAGUCAGAUGUGAAAGCCCAGGGCUCAACCCUGGAAGUGCAUUUGAAACUAAAGGACUUGAGUAUGGGAGAGGGAAGUGGAAUUCCUGGUGUAGCGGUGAAAUGCGUAGAUAUCAGGAGGAACACCGGUGGCGAAGGCGACUUCCUGGACCAAUACUGACGCUGAGGCGCGAAGGCGUGGGGAGCAAACAGG